CCAGAAUGCUGGCUGCCUCUACGCGCAGGGAGGAAGGAGGGCUUUCAUCCGUGGGCACAGGGCGGGGACCCGAGAGCCCCCGGUGGGGGCGUUUGAGAGUUGCCCAGGCCCCUUGCUGCCAUUCUCCAGGACCUCCCACUGCACCCCUCACAGCGUCUGUCACCUCCUCUCCUCCUCCUGCCACCCUCCUGCCUCCCAAGGAAUUUUCCUGAGAUGGUAAGAAACAAGCAAAGAACAUUUGUUCACCGGGAGUCAUUAUAAAGAACGUGAAGUCAAGCCACAAAUUAGGAGAAGCUAUCUCCCAUACACGUAAGCGACAAGCGGUUUCUACCCAGUAAGACAUCAAAGCUGCCCCACACGUCAGUGAGAUGUGGGAUCCGAGAGAAAAAUGGGCAAAAGACACGAAAAGGCCCGUCACAGAGCAGGAAACAGAAAUGGCCAAGAAACAUGUGAAAACCAGGUGUGUCCUGACAUGCAGAAAGCCACGGAGGCCGUGUGCUGUCACCCGGGAGGCAUGUAGCAUGGUCUAGCCUUGGGGUGACUUGAACUCUCUGGCUCUCAGCUGUGAGUGAGUGCACAGGGACCCUGACCCCUUGUUCAGCCCCAGGACAUGGUGGCAAUGGAACCUGGAGAGGAGGAAGCAGGAGGUCACUUUGGUAGAAACCAUGCGUGGCAGAGAGUGGGAAGGAGACCCUAUGAGAAGACAGGCUCGUGCAUUCU
RNAcentral lists this long non-coding RNA (720 nucleotides) under Equus asinus (donkey). RNAcentral's name for it is "lncRNA (ENSEASG00005000007.2)". The record is from RNAcentral. Lineage: Eukaryota; Metazoa; Chordata; Mammalia; Perissodactyla; Equidae.